Molecule: long non-coding RNA, 322 nt
Filed under: Androctonus crassicauda
Lineage: Eukaryota; Metazoa; Arthropoda; Arachnida; Scorpiones; Buthidae
Source: RNAcentral
CUAAAUAGACGUCCGAGAGCGCUUUCCUUUCUGUCCUGCAGGCCGGCGAUUGCACUGCGGGUGCUUCCGCUGCUUCAAUGGGUGGUUCCGGGCUGCCGGUGGUUCGGGUGAGGGCCUGUCAUUUGGGAGUCGCUGCCUACCAUUUUUUCGUGGAGUCUCGAUCGUUUCUUGCGGCAGGGCUUGCGAUGGCUUUGGGACUGGCUUCGGAAUUCUGGCUUGUUCCCGGUGCACUUGUAUAUUGCUGGUGUGGGCCUGCUCUGCCAAUGCGGUUGUUGUUCUGCCCUUUUCUAUGUCCUUUCUGUGGUCCUCCAGUCUCUGUCGU